UUAAUACUCCCUCCGUCCAGAAAUAUUUUUCCUAGAAAUGGAUGAAUCUAGACUUAUUUUAGUUAUAGAUACAUUCAUUAUAUUAAUUUUUAGGACAAGUAUUUCCGGACGGAGGGAGUAAGUU
Molecule: microRNA precursor, 124 nt
Filed under: Hordeum vulgare
Lineage: Eukaryota; Viridiplantae; Streptophyta; Magnoliopsida; Poales; Poaceae
Description: microRNA MIR1122
Rfam family: MIR1120/MIR1122 microRNA precursor family
Source: RNAcentral